RNAcentral lists this ribosomal RNA (447 nucleotides) under uncultured bacterium. RNAcentral's name for it is "bacterial SSU rRNA". It matches the Rfam family "Bacterial small subunit ribosomal RNA", at positions 355 to 825 of the family's 1533-position model. The record is from RNAcentral.
UGGGGAAUCUUGGACAAUGGGCGAAAGCCUGAUCCAGCCAUGCCGCGUGAGUGACGAAGGUCUUCGGAUUGUAAAGCUCUUUUGGCGGGGACGAUAAUGACGGUACCCGCAGAAUAAGCCCCGGCUAACUUCGUGCCAGCAGCCGCGGUAAUACGAAGGGGGCUAGCGUUGUUCGGAAUUACUGGGCGUAAAGCGCACGUAGGCGGAUUUGUAAGUCAGGGGUGAAAUCCCGGGGCUCAACCUCGGAACUGCCCUUGAUACUGCAAAUCUCGAGUCCGAUAGAGGUGAGUGGAAUUCCUAGUGUAGAGGUGAAAUUCGUAGAUAUUAGGAAGAACACCAGUGGCGAAGGCGGCCAACUGGCUCGAUACUGACGCUGAGGUGCGAAAGCGUGGGGAGCAAACAGGAUUAGAUACCCCGGUAGUCCCUGAGCGGGCUGGCAAGGCGCAU